Molecule: ribosomal RNA, 253 nt
Filed under: uncultured bacterium
Lineage: Bacteria
Description: partial 16S ribosomal RNA
Rfam family: Bacterial small subunit ribosomal RNA
Source: RNAcentral
GACGUAGGGCGCGAGCGUUGUCCGGAUUUAUUGGGCGUAAAGAGCUCGUAGGCGGUCUGUCGCGUCGGCUGUGAAAACCUGGGGCUCAACUCCGGGCCUGCAGCCGAUACGGGCAGACUAGAAUUCGGUAGGGGAGACUGGAAUUCCUGGUGUAGCGGUGAAAUGCGCAGAUAUCAGGAGGAACACCGGUGGCGAAGGCGGGUCUCUGGGCCGAUAUUGACGCUGAGGAGCGAAAGCGUGGGGAGCGAACAGG